GUGCCUCUCUCCCUGAGUGUUUGCCAUGACCAGUGCCUUUGCAGAGCCACCUGCACCUCCUGUGAACACCCAGCUCCAGGAUGCAUUUCUGGUUGAGGAGCGCCCGAGAUCUUCAGGGCAGAUCUUAUCAAUCUGGUAAUGGUGGACCUGAGCUCAGCCUCUGCCGAGCCACCUCCUUCUGCAUUCCUGCUGGACUGGGAACAACUUCUCCAAAAGUUUUCUGAUGCUGGCUGAAGCACCCAUGGGUGAGGGGCUGUCUGCUCGUGCUGGGCUUGGGACUGCAGAGGUCCUCCUCAUCCUAGCAGGGCUGUGUGUCAUGUAAGUUCAUCCUGAAGCCUGUUCACUUGAAAAACAGUUGGUCUUAAUGUAUUUUGGUUUUCCUU
Long non-coding RNA from Cygnus olor (mute swan), 383 nucleotides. RefSeq lists it as uncharacterized. Lineage: Eukaryota; Metazoa; Chordata; Aves; Anseriformes; Anatidae. The transcript is spliced from 3 exons. The record is from RefSeq and is a predicted model, not a curated record.